GGCUUAGAGUUUGAUCAUGGCUCAGGAUGAACGCUAGCUACAGGCUUAACACAUGCAAGUCGAGGGGCAUCAGGAAGAAAGCUUGCUUUCUUUGCUGGCGACCGGCGCACGGGUGAGUAACACGUAUCCAACCUGCCCUUUACUCGGGGAUAGCCUUUCGAAAGAAAGAUUAAUACCCGAUAGCAUAAUGAUUCCGCAUGGUUUCAUUAUUAAAGGAUUCCGGUAAAGGAUGGGGAUGCGUUCCAUUAGGUUGUUGGUGAGGUAACGGCCCACCAAGCCUUCGAUGGAUAGGGGUUCUGAGAGGAAGGUCCCCCACAUUGGAACUGAGACACGGUCCAAACUCCUACGGGAGGCAGCAGUGAGGAAUAUUGGUCAAUGGGCGCUAGCCUGAACCAGCCAAGUAGCGUGAAGGAUGAAGGCUCUAUGGGUCGUAAACUUCUUUUAUAUAAGAAUAAAGUGCAGUAUGUAUACUGUUUUGUAUGUAUUAUAUGAAUAAGGAUCGGCUAACUCCGUGCCAGCAGCCGCGGUAAUACGGAGGAUCCGAGCGUUAUCCGGAUUUAUUGGGUUUAAAGGGAGCGUAGGUCGACUGGUAAGUCAGUUGUGAAAGUUUGCGGCUCAACCGUAAAAUUGCAGUUGAUACUGUCAGUCUUGAGUACAGUAGAGGUGGGCGGAAUUCGUGGUGUAGCGGUGAAAUGCUUAGAUAUCACGAAGAACUCCGAUUGCGAAAGCAGCUCACUGGACUGCAACUGACACUGAUGCUCGAAAGUGUGGGUAUCAAACAGGAUUAGAUACCCUGGUAGUCCACACAGUAAACGAUGAAUACUCGCUGUUUGCGAUAAACAGUAAGCGGCCAAGCGAAAGCAUUAAAUAUUC
RNAcentral lists this ribosomal RNA (873 nucleotides) under uncultured organism. RNAcentral's name for it is "bacterial SSU rRNA". It matches the Rfam family "Bacterial small subunit ribosomal RNA", at positions 1 to 869 of the family's 1533-position model. The record is from RNAcentral.